Molecule: long non-coding RNA, 1226 nt
Organism: Equus quagga
Lineage: Eukaryota; Metazoa; Chordata; Mammalia; Perissodactyla; Equidae
Exons: 3
Source: RefSeq, a predicted model, not a curated record
GUACGGCAGAGUCAGCGCAGAGUUAGUCAGAGAAGCUCACUUUUCCUGCUACCGUACUUGGACUUGGUCCUGUCUGACCUGGUCCUGCUAAAGUUUUACAGAGGUAAGGGUCAUACUUGCACUCGUAAAAGCUCAUUCUGGAGGCAGCAUGGAUGAUGGACUGACAGAAAGACACGGCGUGGAAACAAGAAAGCUUCUGCGAUAACACAGGGGAGAAAUGAUGAGGAACUGAUUUGGAUUUACCUUUCCACUGAAGAAGGCAGAAAUGGGAGCUAAAAACUUUGAGGUCAAGCUGUGGCAUUACCAAUGCUCCCGCAGAUCACAGAAACGUCGGCAAGGCCAGAAUUACCAUUAUCCCUUUCGAGGGGAGGAAACGGAAGCUGGGGUGUUGAGCGGCCCGUCUGAGGCAUUACAGCUGGCAGAUGGGCGCAUCGACAGCCUGACUGCCGCCUCGGUUCCUCAACUCUCAGCCAGAACACCCUAGAGGACGUUCGCCAAUGCAGACACCAACUCCACUGGAGAACCUCGUCAGCCCAAACAUCGGACAGGACAAGCUCAUUCCCGAAAAAAGGAAAAAGCAAGGAAGAAGAAAGUAAGAAACCGCCUGCUUGGCUUGUCUUAGAAGAGCAACAGCCUCAGCUCUGUGAGAAGUGGCCGACACUCCUGACCGGGGCUCGGAUUUCCAGACCCUUCCCUCGCAGCUCACAAGCUUCCCAGACACUCCUCUCCAGCUUUAUUUUCCUCUAUAAGAGUCUUGAAUUCUUCAAAAGACCAUUGGUCCAUCCUUGUCCAAUAAAUGCUCAUUUAAAUUUGAAAACAUCCUUUCAACAAAGCAGCCCUUUACUCCCCAGGUCUGAGGUCUCUUUAGAAUGCGCAGGAUUCGAAAGAAACAGCCACACAGCUCAGUCCCCUUCAUUGGAGCUGGUGAGCAGGGGGGCCUCUCACUGUUCCCCAUCCCGUGUACAACCCGCAGAGGCACCGGCCUUUCCCCAUGCCUUCUAGAGCCCUGUCUAGUGGGGGGUCCUGCGGGGUUCUUAGAACACUUGUGUCUGGUUUGCAAACACAAAGAGCUAUUGAAAAGGUGGAGAAAGUACCAAUAAUAAUAUAGGCCUGGGAUGGGGAGGACUCUAUUGGGUUAUUUUUUUAAUAACACUUUUUUCUCAUUAAAAAAGAAACAGAAAUUAGAGAGACUUUGGGAAUACAGAUAGUAUAAAAGAAUAAAUAGU